Molecule: long non-coding RNA, 1130 nt
Organism: Halichondria panicea
Lineage: Eukaryota; Metazoa; Porifera; Demospongiae; Suberitida; Halichondriidae
Exons: 2
Source: RefSeq, a predicted model, not a curated record
CCCUAGCUCGUAAUAAAUUGUCUACACUGAAACAUCUCAGUUGCCCUGAUGCUUAUAUCUUUGCAUGCUCAUGUUCAAUUGUGUAUGUAGCAAUUGGAGACUUGUGACUGGGCAUGGUAAGUUACAGUGGCAGUGAAGAAGUCAGGAGCCUCCAGAGUCCUUCAGUGCAGUGCAGUGCAGGCAGCCUUCUCUCUAACCUCCUUCACAAGGCCUGGCCUGAAGAGCGGCCUGGGAUCGAGGCUACCUUCUCUCUAGCCUCUAACUCUAGCUAGUCUCGAGGCCAGAUUCUGAUAAGGAGAGUUUGGCCUCUAGACUAUAAUUAUAAGCUGGAACUAUAGGUGUGGCAUGAGGGGGCGUUCAGGAAUAAUAGGGCAAGGCCUCAAACAUACUUAGCACAUGGUGCUUGCAGCUGCACCAGACUGCAGCUGCUCAUGCAGCUUUAUACCAUCACUGACUGCAUGCCUGUACCCCUGGCCCUGGCAGUGGGCUACCAUGUUCCAUGUACACCAGCUAGGAUCUAGGAGUCAAGAGUCACCUGCAUCUGCAGCUUGAAAGAAAAGAUAAUUGCAAGUUAGUCAGUGCUCAUUGCUAAACUCAACUUAUUGCCCAAUACUCUCUUUCAGAUUUUCUUAAAGAGUAGAUAGUACCACCAUCUCAAAGAAAAAAGUUAAGUUCCAUUGCAUGCUGUUGGCGCAUGGCAUGUACAUGAUCCCAAAACUCUCUGAAUUCACAGUUUACAAAUCACUGCUAUACCGUAUCGGCGUAUAACUCCACCAUGUACCAGCUUCAAAGAAAAAGGAUUUAAGUUAUGUUGCUCAUUGCUAAAUAAAUGUGUUUACGUGUUUCUUCCAGCUGCAGAUUUUACCGUACCUCGGCCCCACAAUGUGUACCAGCUAGGAGUCUACUUAACCACCUUCAUCGACUUCAAAGAAACGACUUGCAAGGGCUUAUUGUGACGAAAAUGAUCUGAGGGAUGUAGCGUUCAUGAAACCAAACGAAACGCCUGCAGUUCACUGUACUGGAAUUUCAAGAAACGCUAAGUGAUGAACACUAAAAACAAUUUACUGACAGAAGAAAUGUAUUGUGCUGCAUGUCAUGUGAUCCAGUGAUCUUAUUCUAUCAUAAACUCA